Molecule: long non-coding RNA, 325 nt
Organism: Melanotaenia boesemani (Boeseman's rainbowfish)
Lineage: Eukaryota; Metazoa; Chordata; Actinopteri; Atheriniformes; Melanotaeniidae
Exons: 3
Source: RefSeq, a predicted model, not a curated record
GCAGCCACCACCAUCGGCUUGCUGAACACCAGCCUCCCACCUGCGGCCACUACCAUCUGCUUGAUGACCACCAUCGUCCCGUCUCCACCUGCAGGAACCACCAUCAGCUUUUAAAACAUCUGAAAGAAGAUCUAACAUCGCCUGCAGGAAUCACCAUCAUCUUCUUUCAACACAGGUCCACCAUCCACCUCCCGUCUUUACCUGCAGGAACCACCAUCGGCUUUUAUAACAUCUGGAAGAAGACCUGACACCACCUGCAGGAACCACCAUCAUCUUCUUCCAACACAUGUCCACCAUCCACCUCCGAUCUCCACCUGCAGCCACC